UAGGGAAUCUUCCACAAUGGACGCAAGUCUGAUGGAGCAACGCCGCGUGAGUGAAGAAGGUUUUCGGAUCGUAAAGCUCUGUUGUUGGUGAAGAAGGAUAGAGGCAGUAACUGUUCUUUAUUUGACGGUAAUCAACCAGAAAGUCACGGCUAACUACGUGCCAGCAGCCGCGGUAAUACGUAGGUGGCAAGCGUUGUCCGGAUUUAUUGGGCGUAAAGCGAGCGCAGGCGGAAUGAUAAGUCUGAUGUGAAAGCCCACGGCUCAACCGUGGAACUGCAUCGGAAACUGUCAUUCUUGAGUGCAGAAGAGGAGAGUGGAAUUCCAUGUGUAGCGGUGGAAUGCGUAGAUAUAUGGAAGAACACCAGUGGCGAAGGCGGCUCUCUGGUCUGCAACUGACGCUGAGGCUCGAAAGCAUGGGUAGCGAACAGG
RNAcentral lists this ribosomal RNA (429 nucleotides) under bacterium. RNAcentral describes it as "partial 16S ribosomal RNA". It matches the Rfam family "Bacterial small subunit ribosomal RNA", at positions 355 to 776 of the family's 1533-position model. The record is from RNAcentral.